UAACACUUUAAAAUUCCCAGUACCAAAAUGAGAACGGAAGUGAAAACAUCGGUAUUGGUAUUGGAAGUCGAACUUAAACACGCUACUACCACCAAUAGUGACAAUAUACAUGAAAAAAUGACUUAAUUCUGAUUGAUUAAGAGUACUGCAAUUUUACUGAGAAACAGUGUCGCUUGGAAAUUGGUUUAAAUUUUGACAGUCGAAAACUUGUAUGAAAU
Molecule: non-coding RNA, 218 nt
Organism: Paramuricea clavata
Lineage: Eukaryota; Metazoa; Cnidaria; Anthozoa; Malacalcyonacea; Plexauridae
Source: the annotation of a GenBank genome assembly